This 357-nucleotide ribosomal RNA is filed under the name Asceles sp. JAR-2014. RNAcentral's name for it is "partial 16S ribosomal RNA". The record is from RNAcentral. Lineage: Eukaryota; Metazoa; Arthropoda; Insecta; Phasmatodea; Lonchodidae.
AGCAUAAUCAUUAGUUUAUUAAUUGUAAACUUGUAUGAAUGGUUGGACGAAAUAUUAACUGUCUAUAUUUUAUUAUUAUAAUUUAAAUUUUUAGUUAAAAUGCUUAAAUUUUUUUAUAGGACGAGAAGACCCUAUAGAUCUUUAUUAUUUUAUUUAUUUAUUUAUUUAGUUUAUUUAUUAUAUAUAAUUAUUAUAUUUUUGUUGGGGUGACAUUGAGAUAAUUAUAACUCUUUAUUUUAUUAUUCAUUUAUUUAUGUUUAUUUGACCUUUUAUUAAUGUUAUAAGAUUAAGAUACCUUAGGGAUAACAGCGUAAUUCAUUUUUAGAGUUCAUAUCGACAAAGGAGAUUGCGACCUCG